Molecule: transfer RNA, 97 nt
Filed under: Neurospora sp. IMI 360204
Lineage: Eukaryota; Fungi; Ascomycota; Sordariomycetes; Sordariales; Sordariaceae
Description: tRNA-Ile
Source: RNAcentral
GCCCGAUUAGCUCAGCUGGUUAGAGCGUCGUACUAAUAUACUCUCUCCGAGAUAUCAAGUCAUGCGAAGGUCAACAGUUCAAUCCUGUUAUUGGGCA